RNAcentral lists this long non-coding RNA (1930 nucleotides) under Phaseolus vulgaris (common bean). RNAcentral's name for it is "long non-coding RNA (PVUL_LNC003461)". The record is from RNAcentral. Lineage: Eukaryota; Viridiplantae; Streptophyta; Magnoliopsida; Fabales; Fabaceae.
GCUUGGUCCAAAGAUUUCAAUUCUAGCGGGUCCCGCGCUAAGGAACUCCAAUUGCCAAAUUUCUCACCAAAAUUUAUGCUCCCUCAUUAUUCAAUAAAUUGCAUUUAACUUUAAAGCAUGGGUCCCACCGUGUGAUUGCAAAUUCCAGUAGCUGCCAAUACACACUUCUAAUUACUCAACACAUAACUAAUUUUUGUUAGUUAAAAGCGCCCACAAUCACGCUUUCACCAAUUCAACAAUUUCCAAUUUGCUUUCACUGAUUCUACUUUAAUUUCUUCAAUUAAUUGCACACCUUGCUAGUACUUGAUUCACCUGCACCUUCGGCACACCAUUUCUCAUCAAAUUCUUCAAAUUUACGGACCCCACAAUUCACUACAUCAGCUUCACUCAAUUUGUAAUUCACAAAUUGAAUUAAAAUGUAGACAUACUUUUUUUUUCAAAAUGAUCAACAAUUUCAAGCAAUCAAAUCUGAAUCAGAACAGCUAGUAUGAAGACCUACGCUUGUCAAUUACAAUUUCAAAAUUCACCAACAGCUUCACUUUGCCAAUUUCACAAGCUAAACCGGAAAAUUCUGCAUCAAGACUUGCACCAGUAAAAUUCUUGCUUCAACAAAAUUGAACCAAUUUAGUUUACGCACUUUGCUUUCUCUAUCUCACUUUUCUUGCAUUCAAUGAGGCAAUUUUAAUUAAAUCUCUGGAUCAAUACACCAACCAAUUAUGCGCCGAAAUUUUACUCAAUUAAGCAUUGCAGUCGUAAACACCAAUUAUGAACCAAAUGAUGCAAACAAUUCAAGUCAUCAUACUACAUCACAACAUCGUGAUCAAUUCAUCAAACAGUUUCAAUGCACAAAAUUAUACCACCAAAUUUUACUAAUCACAAGAGAAACUGCACACCAAUUUCGAAACCAAUCACCGCUGCAUCAAUACCAGCAACAUCAAGGGAAACACCAGAAUUUAUUAAAAAAAAUUGAAUGAAUCUAAUUUUUUUUUUAAAUUCAAUUAGGCAAAUAAACCUCCACUACACACAUGCAUACUCCAGCUGCUGCCAAAAUUUAAACCACAGAGGAAUUUAAGCAAACAACUUAUCUGCAGUUCUUGUUUACGUAGCAAAACCAAAAUUCUCACUAAACAAUACGAACUCCAGCUUCAAUUGAUUUUGGUUCUGCACUCCAAACUGCUCUGUUCAACGCAGAUGCUGAUAUGAACGAUCGUGUGUAGAAGCGUCUAGGUCUUCUCGUAAGAGAUUUCGAAGAACGAUUAGGCUUUGGACAAAGGGAACCUUUAGGUGGCUUCCGAUUAUACCAAGAACAAGAACAAUGAUAGAGAAUUGAGAAAAGGAAACAAACUGCAUAUAUUAUUCAUAUAUCAAAUAAUAGUUCAAUACUUUAUUUAUAGAGUACUAAAUAUCAUAAAAUCCCAAUAAAAUCCUAAUAAAAUCCUAAUAAAAUCCUAACUAAUUAAAUAAAUGAUAAAAUCCUAAUAAAAUCCUAAUAAAAUAAAUAAAUGAUAAAAUUCUAACUAAUUAAAUCUUAACAACCCAAUAAUAAUAUUAAUCAAAUCCCAAAACUUUAGCGUAUAACAGAUGCCAAAUUUCAUUCUAAUUCUAGAAAUCAUUUGAAUGAAACACGCACCGAUUCAAAAUGAACAAAUUGCAACCCACAGUUCACCUAUUCUCCGAUUAAUCUUCUCCAAAAUCGCUCCACAAUACGAAGAACAAUGAACGCAAAAGGUAGAACCAAAAAUCUUCGGAAUCGGAAGUGAAAGCAGAAGAAGAACUUACAUGAAUCAAUUCAUUCUUCACUACUUUAAUUCUUCGAUUUUCAAUUCACCAGACCAACUCGAUCGUGAUUCAAACAGAUUUCUCCGGUCGUCUUCUCCGUUCACCGAUUUCACUGGAAAACGCCACUGUCGUUUGCGAUUCCUUCGUUCAC